CAUUGCUCCAUCAAGCAAGGUUUCACUUAAUUUCUAUUUCUACACAAACACACAUCAAUCUCAUAGAUUCUCUGCAACCGCAUCUAACUUGUCUUUCAACUUCUGUAAUCUACAUAAUCACUUGGCAUCAUGACUCAAUUCAAAUGGAUAAAUUGUCAAAAUAAAAAUAUAUCAAUGAUAUAAAUCUUUUUAUUUGAAUUGGUUAGCUUUGAUUUGAUUUUAGAAAGAUGGAAAGAUUUAUCUCACAGUCCUAUUAACAGGAAUUUAAACUUGGUCACAAACUGUACAUGUGAUUGCAGGUGUGGGAGGCGACAUGUUUUCUCUAAUCAGGAAGUUCAAGCGGUGACAACGCUUUUAUUUAUUUUUUAAUUUAUUCAACGAUGGAUGUACCACAAAUAGGCCCCAUCCAUGAACGGAUAGAUCUUCAGAGGACACAUGAACGUUUAAUUAUGGAAGGUAGGCAUGCCCUUUUUUUACAUGAUAACUUUAAAAGCAUCACUCUUUCCUUUUUUCUAAACUUUACAUUUGUAUUACAGCUGGGCAGUUGGCAGAACCCACCAGCACUGAUGAUAUGAUUAACCUGAGUUACCUAUUGGCUGGGGGAAGCUAUGGUGCAUACCAGUUCAGCAAUACUUGUGUUCUAGACUCCAUUUUGGCUGGAAUUCAUGUUCUUGCCAAAAUGUAUCCCCAAAUUCGAGAUUUGUUCACGAGGGAUAACAAAAUCAAUGCGGUUAUACGUUUCCUAGACUUUGCCAAGGUCAAUGAGGCAAAGGCACUGUGGCUUAUUAACUUGAGCCUUCGUAAGGAAGAAAACCUCAUGCAAAAUGAAUUUGUAGAUAUCAGAGGUUAUGUUAGAGACCACUUGACAAACUUCACUGAGCUGGUAUGUGCCAGCUUCGACUAUGAUGACUCGCAAUCAAGCUCCACACCAUGUGACACAGUUCUCAACAACAUAUUGAGGAAGUUUGAGGAUUACGGUGAUGUAAAACCCUUAGGCACUUCUCGUCAUGAACCCAAACUCAUCCUGGUAGACAUUGAUGACCGGAUGUGUAUCCUACCUCCCCUCUCCAUCACUGAUGAUUAUGAAAGGACAUACGAGCUCCAGUUCCUCCUGAUGGGACAGAGUACACCCCUGUCCAACCACAUGGUCCUGUUCCUGUGCACUCAGCUGACUGGCAGAUGGAUGAUCUAUGACAACAUGAAAACACCCCUGGUCCAGGACAUUGGUGUGAGUGAACUACAGAGAGCUACAGAGAGGGAAAAGUAUGUUUCCUAUCUUGCUGCUUAUGUGAAGAAAGAAGAAUAAUAAGGCUGCUUCGGGACUCAAGGGCAUCCUCUUUAGAUUUUAGCUCUGUAUUUCCGAGAUCCUGUCCCAACUACUAUUGGCAUAAUAAAAAAAAAUCCCCAUAAAAUUCUGUCAAUUUAAGAUAGAGAUGUUUUUUUGCAUUGGAUGUGUCUCAAUCCACCGCAUACACCAAUGUCACUCUUCCGCAUCGGUGGUAAAGGUGACAGAGCUUGAGCGGUGUUUGUCAGAGCAUGAGACAUCCCGAAAAUCGGUAUUUUCACAAAAUCGUCUGUAGUGUCUGAACAGUUUAGCCUAUAAAACUAUUAUAACCCCUCUAUUGAAAGAUGAGACUCUCGCGAACACAAUGGUAUUUGCCGUUUGGGACACGUCUGAAGUCGGUACAGCCGAUCUGCCAACAUCUGUCUGUAGUGUCCGAAUAGUUUGGGGUACACACAAGUACUUCUCUGUGGAAAGGUGACAUGCCUCACAAGACUCCUCUGAAGGUCUCCCGGUACCAGUUGAAAAAAUGACUGGAAGUACACUACCAUUCAAAGUUUGGGGUCACUUAGACAUUUCCAUGUUUUUGAAAGAAAAACACAUUUUUUGUCCAUUAAAAAAACAUCUUAUUGAUCAGAAAUACAGUAUAGACAUUGUUAAUGUUGUAAAUGACUAUUGUAGCUGGAAACGGCAGAUUUUGUUAUGGAAUAUCUACAUAGGUGUACAGAGGCCCAUUAUCAGCAACCAUCACUCCUGUGUUCCAAUGGCGUGUUGUGUUAACUAAUCCAAGUUUAUCAUUUGAAAAGGCUAAUUGAUCAUUAGAAAACCCUUUUGCAAUUAUGUUAGCACAGCUGAAAACUGUUGUUCUGAUUAAAGAAGCAAUAAAACUGGCAUUCUUUAGACUAGUUCAGUAUCUUGAGCAUCAGCAUUUGUGGGUUCGAUUACAGGCUCAAAAUGGCCAGAAACAAAGUACUUUCUUCUGAAAUUAAUCAGUCUAUUCUUGUUCGGAGAAAUUAAGGCUAUUCCAUGCAAGAAAUUGCCAGGAAACUGAAGAUCUCGUACAACGCUGUGUACUACUCGCUUCACAGAACAGUGCAACCUGGCUCUAACCAGAAUAGAAAGAGUAGGAUGCCCCGGUGCACAACUGAGCAAGAGGACAAGUACAUUAGAGUGUCUAGUUUGAGAAACAGAAGCCUCACAAGUCCUCAACUGGCAGCUUCAUUAAAUAGUACCUGCAAAACACCAGUCUCAACGUCAACAGUGAAGAGGCAACUCCGGAAUGCUGGCCUUCUAGGCAGAAUUGCAAAGUAAAAGCCAUAUCUCAGACUGGUCAAUAAAAAGAAAAGAUUAAGAUGGGCAAAAGAACACAGACACUAGACAGAAGAACUCUGCCUAGAAGGCCAGCAUCCCAGAGUUGGCUCUUCGCUGUUGACGUUGGGACUGGUGUUUUGGAACACCGGAGUGAUGGUUGCUGAUUAUGAGCCUCUGUAUGCCUAUGUAGAUAUUCCAUUAAAAAUCAGCCGUUUCCAGCUACAAUACUAAUUUACAACAUUAACAAUGUCUACACUGUAUUUCUGAUUAAUUUGAUGUUAUUUUAAUGGACUUUUUUUUAUUUUCUUUCGAAAAACAAGGACAUUUCUAAGUGAACCCAAACUUUUGAAUGGUAGUGUACAUAUGGAUACUGUUUAGUGCCAAAAAUAAGGGGUUAAAUACGGAAAAAAUGUCAAUGUAAAAAAAUUAUAAUUACGUAUAUAAAAAAAGAUUAAUGUUUCGUGAUCUAUCUUAUAUCUCGCCGACAGACAUUUCAGAACAAACUUCCUUUUAAUUUUUUUUGGAGGGACUAUCUGUUGUUCCAUGCAUUGAAUCUGUUACUCAAUGCGUUUGAAUGGGCUAAUAGCAGUAAGGCUCAAACUUGUUUUGUAUCAAAAAUAUUUUUACAAUAUUUUGGGGGGAUACUUCAAGGGGUCUUAAUUCUAGAUCAAAUAGCUAAAUGAUCGUUGGUAUGACCUUCUUAAAACAAUUCCAUGUAGCUUAGUAGAACCUCCGCCCCCAUGACAGUAUGUCACUUUGGAUAAAAGCAUCUGCUAAAUGGAGUUUAACUUAUUUUUGUGUUAUUUUUACAAUGUUACUUAAUGUAAUAAGCUCUUCAGACUGCUCUUUUUUUAUGUUGACAGCAGUUAUAGCCAGGAAUCACAUACAAGAUUGACUAAUGUUUAGUGUUGUCACAGAGAGAGGUCUAAGAAUGCAUUGCUAUGGAACCUUUUAUUCCUGCAACUAUGAACAUUCAUUUUACAAUAAUUUUGGUCCUGUCGCACAGACGAGCUACUAUAACAGGAAGAAACUCAGUAAUUGACACUCUAGAUGUUUUUAAAUGUUUGUUCUGUUUGAAUAAGCUUAGCUAUCACUAACAAGCAGUAGCUCGUUUCAUAUGGCCAGUAUUAAUAUGUUUACCCUUUAUUACUGAUAGUUUCUUUGCCAGUUCGUUUGAUGUUUCCUUGAUAUAUUCUAUACUACAGUAUAUGGUCACACUGUACAGAGCUGUGAAUAAGUAUGUGAGCCCCUGCACUGUUUUCACAUUUUAU
Long non-coding RNA from Salmo trutta (river trout), 3864 nucleotides. Ensembl lists it as uncharacterized. The record is from Ensembl. NCBI's taxonomy places the organism in Eukaryota, Metazoa, Chordata, Actinopteri, Salmoniformes, Salmonidae.